GAUGAACGCUGGCGGCGUGCUUAACACAUGCAAGUCGAACGGUGAAGGCGGAGCUUGCUCUGCUGGAUCAGUGGCGAACGGGUGAGUAACACGUGAGCAAUCUGCCCCUGACUCUGGGAUAAGCGCUGGAAACGGCGUCUAAUACUGGAUACGAGCUGCGAAGGCAUCUUCAGCAGCUGGAAAGAACUUCGGUCAGGGAUGAGCUCGCGGCCUAUCAGCUUGUUGGUGAGGUAAUGGCUCACCAAGGCGUCGACGGGUAGCCGGCCUGAGAGGGUGACCGGCCACACUGGGACUGAGACACGGCCCAGACUCCUACGGGAGGCAGCAGUGGGGAAUAUUGCACAAUGGGCGAAAGCCUGAUGCAGCAACGCCGCGUGAGGGACGACGGCCUUCGGGUUGUAAACCUCUUUUAGCAGUGAAGAAGCGAAAGUGACGGUACCUGCAGAAAAAGCGCCGGCUAACUACGUG
This 468-nucleotide ribosomal RNA is filed under the name uncultured bacterium. RNAcentral describes it as "partial 16S ribosomal RNA". It matches the Rfam family "Bacterial small subunit ribosomal RNA", at positions 28 to 507 of the family's 1533-position model. The record is from RNAcentral.